RNAcentral lists this ribosomal RNA (498 nucleotides) under uncultured bacterium. Its description in RNAcentral is "partial 16S ribosomal RNA". It matches the Rfam family "Bacterial small subunit ribosomal RNA", at positions 30 to 523 of the family's 1533-position model. The record is from RNAcentral.
AUUGAACGCUGGCGGCAGGCCUAACACAUGCAAGUCGAGCGGUUGAGGUAGCUUGCUACCGAUGCAGCGGCGAACGGGUGAGUAAUACAUGGGAAUCUGCCUGGUAGUGGGGGACAACGUCUCGAAAGGGACGCUAAUACCGCAUACGCCCUACGGGGGAAAGGGGGGGAUCUUCGGACCUCUCGCUAUCAGAUGAGCCCAUGUCAGAUUAGCUAGUUGGCGGGGUAAAGGCUCACCAAGGCGACGAUCUGUAACUGGUCUGAGAGGAGGAUCAGUCACACUGGAACUGAGACACGGUCCAGACUCCUACGGGAGGCAGCAGUGGGGAAUAUUGGCCAGUGGGCGCAAGCCUGAUCCAGCCAUGCCGCGUGUGUGAAGAAGGCCUUAGGGUUGUAAAGCACUUUCAGUGGGGAGAAAGGUUAUUCACCUAAUACGUGAGUAAAUUGAUGUUACCCACAGAAGAAGCACCGGCUAACUCCGUGCCAGCCGCCGCAGUAA